This is a long non-coding RNA of Ruditapes philippinarum (Manila clam), 462 nucleotides long. RefSeq lists it as uncharacterized. The record is from RefSeq and is a predicted model, not a curated record. NCBI's taxonomy places the organism in Eukaryota, Metazoa, Mollusca, Bivalvia, Venerida, Veneridae. The transcript has 3 exons.
UCCGAAUGCAAAAACAUGGCCGAAUUGAGACGCUCGAUUACAUGAUCCAAAUUAUUUUGAUGACUCGAAGCAUUUGAAGACUUGUGGCGAUGAUUUGGCGGACAGUUUGAUUGAAGACAUUGGUAUACCUGCUACCAAGCAAAGGUUGUUCAAACCCAUGAGCUGCACAGAGAGGAGAAAGUCUAUGGAUUGUGGGUCCAGUUCUAUAAGAAAGGAAAGCGACAAUUAUAGACAUUGGAGGAGAAAUCUUUCUUUCUUUGUUGGGAGGAUAUCAUUAAACAACUUGCUAAACCUUUACUGUCUAUGCAUGGAUCUAGAUUAUACUACAAAUUUUGAGUGUUUGGUGUACAGUUACACUUAAUAGCCCAUCAGAAAGGCCGACAUGGUGACUGGUGCUUUUACAUCCAAUUUGGUGUAGACUGUUUUCAUACUUUCUUACAAAAACUGUUAGAAAUAUAAUAU